CGCCGAUGAGGAAGAAUUCCCAAAGUAUAGGAAGUGCCGUAUGACACUUUAAACAGCAGCAGCUGC
RNAcentral lists this small nucleolar RNA (66 nucleotides) under Olea europaea subsp. europaea. Its description in RNAcentral is "Small nucleolar RNA U49". It matches the Rfam family "Small nucleolar RNA U49". The record is from Rfam by way of RNAcentral. Lineage: Eukaryota; Viridiplantae; Streptophyta; Magnoliopsida; Lamiales; Oleaceae.